AACGCUAGCUACAGGCUUAACACAUGCAAGUCGUGGGGCAGCAUGGGAGAUGCUUGCAUUUCCCGAUGGCGACCGGCGCACGGGUGAGUAACGCGUAUCCAACCUGCCCUUCACUCCGGCACAGCCCGUCGAAAGACGGAUUAAUGCGGGAUGCAGUCAGAAAGAUGCAUAUUAAUUUGACGAAAGGCUUUAUGCCGGUGAGGGAUGGGGAUGCGUCCGAUUAGCUUGACGGCGGGGUAACGGCCCACCGUGGCUACGAUCGGUAGGGGUUCUGAGAGGAAGGUCCCCCACAUUGGAACUGAGACACGGUCCAAACUCCUACGGGAGGCAGCAGUGAGGAAUAUUGGUCAAUGGGCGAGAGCCUGAACCAGCCAAGUAGCGUGCAGGAAGACGGCCCUAUGGGUUGUAAACUGCUUUUGUGCGGGAAUAAAGCGGGUCACGUGUGGCCCUUUGCAUGUACCGUACGAAUAAGGACCGGCUAAUUCCGUGCCAGCAGCCGCGGUAAUACGGAAGGUCCGGGCGUUAUCCGGAUUUAUUGGGUUUAAAGGGAGCGUAGGCCGUCUCAAAAGCGUGUUGUGAAAUGUCCGGGCUCAACCGGGGCCGUGCAGCGCGAACUGUGAGACUUGAGUGUGCGGAAGGUAUGCGGAAUUCGUGGUGUAGCGGUGAAAUGCAUAGAUAUCACGAAGAACUCCGAUUG
RNAcentral lists this ribosomal RNA (697 nucleotides) under uncultured bacterium. RNAcentral describes it as "bacterial SSU rRNA". It matches the Rfam family "Bacterial small subunit ribosomal RNA", at positions 32 to 715 of the family's 1533-position model. The record is from RNAcentral.